This 325-nucleotide ribosomal RNA is filed under the name uncultured bacterium. RNAcentral's name for it is "bacterial SSU rRNA". It matches the Rfam family "Bacterial small subunit ribosomal RNA", at positions 505 to 829 of the family's 1533-position model. The record is from RNAcentral.
GUGCCAGCCGCCGCGGUAAUACGUAGGUGGCAAGCGUUGUCCGGAUUUAUUGGGCGUAAAGGAUGUGUAGGCGGAUAUUUAAGUGAGAUGUGAAAUCCCAGGGCUUAACUUGGGGGCUUCAUUUCAAACUGGGUGUCUAGAGUGCAGAAGAGGAAAGCAGAAUUCCAAGUGUAGCGGUGAAAUGCGUAGAGAUUUGGAAGAAUACCAGUGGCGAAGGCGAAUUUCUGGACUGUAACUGACGCUGAGGCAUGAAAGCAUGGGGAGCAAACAGGAUUAGAUACCCUGGUAGUCCACGCCGUAAACGAUGAAUGCUAAGUGUAAGAGG